Ictalurus punctatus (channel catfish) is the source of this 612-nucleotide long non-coding RNA. NCBI's taxonomy places the organism in Eukaryota, Metazoa, Chordata, Actinopteri, Siluriformes, Ictaluridae. The record is from Ensembl.
GUUUCUGGGUUUCUGAAGAAGUUACUGGGUUUCUGAAGAAGUUACUGGGUUUCUGAAGAGGUUACUGGGUUUCACUGGGUUUCUGAAGAAGUUACUGGGUUUCACUGGGUUUCUGAAGAGGUUACUGGGUUUCACUGGGUUUCUGAAGAGGUUACUGGGUUUCACUGGAGGUUACUGGCUUUCACUGGGUUUCUGAAGAGGUUACUGGGUUUCUGAAGAAGGGACUGGGUUUCAUUACUGGGUUUCUGAAGAGGUUACUGGGUUUCUGAAGAAGGUACUGGGUUUCAUUACUGGGUUUCUGAAGAGGUUACUGGGUUUCUACAAAGGCUCCUGGGUUUCCAAACACAUUACUGGAUUUCUGAAGAAGUUGCUGGAUUCUCCUUCCGCUUCUUCCUUUUCUUUAUUCUCCUUUUUUCUUCUCCUACCAUUCCUUGUUUUUCCCUCCAUCUUCAUUUCCCUCACCUUUUCCUCAUUCUGCUUUAUCUUCUCAUCCAUUUUCUCCUCCUUUUUAAUCUUCACUUUAGUCUUGCUCUCCUCUUCUCAUCUUUUACUUCAUCCUCCUCUCCUUCUUCACCAUCUUCUCCUUGUUCUUCUUUCCCCUAUUUUUUGUCC